RNAcentral lists this antisense RNA (148 nucleotides) under Polaromonas naphthalenivorans CJ2. RNAcentral describes it as "Bacterial antisense RNA HPnc0260". It matches the Rfam family "Bacterial antisense RNA HPnc0260". Lineage: Bacteria; Pseudomonadati; Pseudomonadota; Betaproteobacteria; Burkholderiales; Comamonadaceae. The record is from Rfam by way of RNAcentral.
UACAUUCUAGGAAUGUCUUGAUAUACGCAAUUUAUCUGGGUUAUCUUGAUUCAAUGUUUUGAACCACCAGGGGUUCAAAACAUUGAAACAAAAACUGUUUCAGAAAAAUUGGUAGGCGCGAUUGGACUCGAACCAACGACCCCCACCA